RNAcentral lists this transfer RNA (91 nucleotides) under Verrucomicrobiota bacterium. RNAcentral describes it as "tRNA-Sec". It matches the Rfam family "Selenocysteine transfer RNA". RNAcentral also lists the same sequence under 2 other names. Lineage: Bacteria; Pseudomonadati; Verrucomicrobiota. The record is from RNAcentral.
GGAGAGUGAAGGGUGCCUGGUGGUCCUCGCGGUCUUCAAAACCGUUGUCGGUUCGCAAGAGCCGGGGCAGGUUCGAUUCCUGUCCUCUCCG